GGAAGCUACCUUUCUUAAAACACAAGUUAUAUAACCCAUUCAAAGGUCAUUUUCAUUAUCAAAACAUGCAUUUCACAUUACAAGUCCAUACAAAAGUACAUCAUUUUGGCCUACUGUUAAAUUUUGGUCAACUAUUGACUUUUUUGUCAAACAAUUGACCAAAGUCAACUAACUAUCUUAAACCCUAAUUCUACUUUUUCCUUCAUUCAUAAUCCUUCCCAUGUUUGUUUAAAUGUCUUUUUGGGCCAUGACCUCUCCAUGUUCCAUGACAAUCUUUAUUCAUGCCUUCAUGACCAAAAUGUCAUGCCAAAACAUUAUUCCAUUCCAUGAUCCCACCAGCUCUGCAAAAUCGCAUACAAUGCACAAUUAAGAUUCAUGCCCAUACAUGGAUAAACAUAACCAUAUACACAAUCCUUAGCCAUGACAAGUAUAACUCAUGCAAGCAUAGCCAUGAUAGUUACACAUACAUAGAUCCAUAACCAAAAAACGCAUCAAACAAUACCAUAACAGUCCAAAUAACUCCAUAAACGAUCAAAAAGCCAUGUCAGUUCAAACAAUGGCAGCCUAACUCUCAAACUUCAAUAGUCAAGCUAAUUGUUUUUCAUUACAUCAAACUAUUUUCAAUUCAAACUUCAAAAUGCUAACAAUUCAUCCACAUAAACUAACUGCAAGUUCAAUUCAAUUAACAAUUUGACUAUUUCACAUUCCUAACUAAAAUUCAAAAGAGCAUUAAAACUUGAACCGACAUUCUAACCAAAUGUAUAAUUAAAAUCAUAACAUUAGCAUAAAAACCAACAUGAUUAGCUCAUUUUCUAUUAACAGCCUGCAAAUUCCUCUAACAGUUCAUGAUGUAACUAAUUCAAACUAUCAAAACUUCAAACAAAGUUCCCACUGUCAACACCAAUUAACUCAAAUAAACUAAUCUUAGCAUCUCAUUUACAAAUCCUUACUAACACAUUCACAAUUCACUAACAUAACUUCAACUCUUCACUGACACAAACUAACUUCUUCAUAACUUCAAAAUGUCAACCUAACAACCUCACUAACUUCAUUCAACUAAUUCAAUUCGAACUAACAUAACAACGCUCUUCAUAACUAACCUUAACAGAAAAUCAAAUCUAACACAACUAACACUCCAAUCAUCCUCUAACUUACUUUAACAGAAACAGUUUCACAAUGUUAACUCAAAACAACUUCCUUCAUUGAUCUUCAUUUGAAUCUAACUGUGCCAUAACUUGUAACAACCUGCCCCAUAGCUUUCCCGAAUCAGUUAACAAUCUCCUCUACAUAACCUUCACUCACCUUCAUUUCAUCAUCAACAAUCAUAUUCUGAAUCACUCUCAAUCUCCUUGAAGCACUAUGAGAUUUCUCUCUGAAGCUCUCUCUCUCUCUCUCUCUGUAUUUUCCCCCUCUACUUCAUCAUUAUCCUCUCAUGCGUAUGUAACAACAACAACACAGAGCAACAACAUCAACAAUAAUCGAUUUCUCCUACGAACUAAGAAUUCGAAAAAGGAGAAGAAGAUUACACCGAGUUCUAAUUACUGAC
Molecule: long non-coding RNA, 1546 nt
Filed under: Lathyrus oleraceus (garden pea)
Lineage: Eukaryota; Viridiplantae; Streptophyta; Magnoliopsida; Fabales; Fabaceae
Description: Pisum sativum (pea) long non-coding RNA (PSAT_LNC030791)
Source: RNAcentral